Molecule: non-coding RNA, 372 nt
Organism: Cytophagales bacterium
Lineage: Bacteria; Pseudomonadati; Bacteroidota; Cytophagia; Cytophagales
Source: Rfam
GGGGCUGACCGGAAUUGACAGCUCGUGCAGGUCGCGAGUAAGCGUGUCGAGAGUUGGGUGAAUCUCUCGCCAACAAAUCAUCCGAACAACAACUGGCGAGUAUAGCUACGCCAUGGCUGCCUAGUCUAGGUACUAAGCAAUAGCCAUCAUCCCGCAUCCGUCUGCCUUAUCACGGAUGAGCACGGGGUGUCGAAAGAAUAAGGAUUGCCUAGGUGGCGCUGCGACGCCUAGGUGAACCUCUAGCAGAUAAGGGUAACUCACAGGCCUGACGGGCGCCUAGGUUACCUCGAACAAAUUAAGCUCGGAUACACACGUAGAAAGCUCGACGGUCUCCUUGUCUGGACCAGGGUUCGACUCCCUGCAGCUCCACAA